Molecule: ribosomal RNA, 253 nt
Filed under: uncultured bacterium
Lineage: Bacteria
Description: partial 16S ribosomal RNA
Rfam family: Bacterial small subunit ribosomal RNA
Source: RNAcentral
UACGUAGGUGGCAAGCGUUGUCCGGAAUUAUUGGGCGUAAAGCGCGCGCAGGCGGUCCUUUAAGUCUGAUGUGAAAGCCCACGGCUCAACCGUGGAGGGUCAUUGGAAACUGGGGAACUUGAGUGCAGGAGAGGAGAGUGGAAUUCCACGUGUAGCGGUGAAAUGCGUAGAGAUGUGGAGGAACACCAGUGGCGAAGGCGGCUCUUUGGGCUGUAACUGACGCUGAGGCGCGAAAGCGUGGGGAGCAAACAGG